This 253-nucleotide ribosomal RNA is filed under the name uncultured bacterium. RNAcentral describes it as "partial 16S ribosomal RNA". It matches the Rfam family "Bacterial small subunit ribosomal RNA", at positions 524 to 776 of the family's 1533-position model. The record is from RNAcentral.
UACGUAGGCAGCGAGCGUUGUUCGGAGUUACUGGGCGUAAAGAGCUCGUAGGCGGUCUGUCGCGUCGAAUGUGAAAACCCGGGGCUCAACCCCGGGCCUGCAUUCGAUACGGGCAGACUAGAGUUCGGUAGGGGAGUCUGGAAUUCCUGGUGUAGCGGUGAAAUGCGCAGAUAUCAGGAGGAACACCGAUGGCGAAGGCAGUUCUCUGGGACGGUACUGACGCUGAGACGCGAAAGCGUGGGGAGCGAACAGG